Molecule: unclassified non-coding RNA, 400 nt
Filed under: soil metagenome
Description: partial contains 5.8S ribosomal RNA, internal transcribed spacer 2, and large subunit ribosomal RNA
Rfam family: 5.8S ribosomal RNA (bases 1-122)
Source: RNAcentral
GAUGAAGAACGCAGCGAAAUGCGAUACUUGGUGUGAAUUGCAGAAUCCCGUGAACCAACGAGUCUUUGAACGCAAGUUGCGCCUCAAGCCAUUAGGUUGAGGGCACGUCUGCCUGGGCGUCACAUAUCGUUGCCUGAUGCCAGUUUCCUCGUGAUGGGUGACUGUGCAGGGCGAAUGAUGGCUUCCCGUGAGCAUUGUUGCCUCAUGGUUGGUUGAAAAUUGAGUCCUUGGUAGGGAGCGCCGUGAUAGAUGGUGGUUGAGUGACGAACGAGACCCAAUCAUGUGAGACCCCUACCGAAUUUGGCCUUCAUGACCCACAUGCGUCUUUGGAACGCUCAUGACGAGACCUCAGGUCAGGCGGGGCUACCCGCUGAGUUUAAGCAUAUCAAUAAGCGGAGGA